UACGGAGGAUGCGAGCGUUAUCCGGAUUUAUUGGGUUUAAAGGGUGCGCAGGCGGGCUUUUAAGUCAGCGGUGAAAUUUUCAGGCUUAACCUGAACACUGCCGUUGAAACUGAGAGUCUUGAGUAUAGAUGAAGUAGGCGGAAUUCGUUGUGUAGCGGUGACAUGCUUAGAUAUAACGAGGAACUCCGAUUGCGUAGGCAGCUUUCUAAACCAUAACUGACGCUCAUGCACGAAAGCGUGGGGAUCAAACAGG
RNAcentral lists this ribosomal RNA (253 nucleotides) under uncultured Dysgonomonas sp. RNAcentral's name for it is "partial 16S ribosomal RNA". It matches the Rfam family "Bacterial small subunit ribosomal RNA", at positions 524 to 776 of the family's 1533-position model. The record is from RNAcentral. Lineage: Bacteria; Pseudomonadati; Bacteroidota; Bacteroidia; Bacteroidales; Dysgonomonadaceae.